RNAcentral lists this ribosomal RNA (468 nucleotides) under uncultured bacterium. RNAcentral describes it as "partial 16S ribosomal RNA". It matches the Rfam family "Bacterial small subunit ribosomal RNA", at positions 28 to 507 of the family's 1533-position model. The record is from RNAcentral.
GAUGAACGCUGGCGGCGUGCUUAACACAUGCAAGUCGAACGGAAAGGCCCAAGCUUGCUUGGGUACUCGAGUGGCGAACGGGUGAGUAACACGUGGGUGAUCUGCCCUGCACUUCGGGAUAAGCCUGGGAAACUGGGUCUAAUACCGGAUAGGACGAUGGUUUGGAUGCCAUUGUGGAAAGUUUUUUCGGUGUGGGAUGAGCUCGCGGCCUAUCAGCUUGUUGGUGGGGUAAUGGCCUACCAAGGCGUCGACGGGUAGCCGGCCGGAGAGGGUGUACGGCCACAUUGGGACCGAGAUACGGCCCAGACUCCUACGGGGGGCAGCAGUGGGGAAUAUUGCACAAUGGGCGCAAGCCUGAUGCAGCGACGCCGCGUGGGGGAUGACGGCCUUCGGGUUGUAAACUCCUUUCGCUAGGGACGAAGCGUUUUUGUGACGGUACCUGGAGAAGAAGCACCGGCUAACUACGUG